GACGAACGCUGGCGGCGUGCUUAACACAUGCAAGUCGAACGGUAAGGCCCUUCGGGGUACACGAGUGGCGAACGGGUGAGUAACACGUGGGUGAUCUGCCCUGCACUUCGGGAUAAGCCUGGGAAACUGGGUCUAAUACCGGAUAGGACCACUGCCUGCAUGGGUGGUGGUGGAAAGCUUUUGCGGUGUGGGAUGGGCCCGCGGCCUAUCAGCUUGUUGGUGGGGUGAUGGCCUACCAAGGCGACGACGGGUAGCCGGCCGGAGAGGGUGACCGGCCACACUGGGACUGAGAUACGGCCCAGACUCCUACGGGAGGCAGCAGUGGGGAAUAUUGCUCAAUGGGCGCAAGCCUGAUGCAGCGACGCCGCGUGAGGGACGACGGCCUUCGGGUUGUAAACCUCUUUCAGCACCGACGAAGCGCAAGUGACGGUAGGUGCAGAAGAAGGACCGGCCAACUACGUGCCAGCCGCCGCAGUAA
Molecule: ribosomal RNA, 478 nt
Filed under: uncultured bacterium
Lineage: Bacteria
Description: partial 16S ribosomal RNA
Rfam family: Bacterial small subunit ribosomal RNA
Source: RNAcentral